Molecule: long non-coding RNA, 1591 nt
Organism: Anser brachyrhynchus (Pink-footed goose)
Lineage: Eukaryota; Metazoa; Chordata; Aves; Anseriformes; Anatidae
Source: Ensembl
UUACUUUCAAAGCUUUAAUCUUAAAAUGUAAGGCAGUAUAGCUGAAAUAAUACGCAUUUAUUAAUGAAAUGAUGUAUUUAGAAAUGAUCAAAAAGAGCAACUCAUGUCAAAACAAUCGUUAAGCUUUCAACCAUUCUGAAAUUUCAACAUAUUGCCCAAACAAGGGAUGAACAGAAUCAUCAACAUCUUGAAAGUUUGAUGGGAAAGGAAGAGAAAACAUUCUAAACUGCAUGAAACAAUGAAGUUAAUUUACAUGCAAUACGACAGAAUUCUGUAGAAGGAAACCUUGUCUAUAUAAAAGCAGCCUUGAAACUUACUCGUUCUCUUAAAUCCAAACAGCAUUUGAAUUAACUGGAUAUUUUAAAGUAUAUGGUGCAUAAAUAUUAUUUCCCUUACCAAACAUUUCUGAUUACAGGGUAGCUGCACUUUCCAGAGCAAUGGAUGCACAACUCUUAUACAAUUUAAUAUUUUUUAUGCCUUCAUGAGACAAAGCAGUUAUUCCAAGGCUAGAUUUGUAGCUAGCAUUAAUAGGUAGAGGGGUGUGUUUUCCUGAUCCAGGAGCCCUGGUAUCCCUCAUUUGGUAAGUGGCAAAGUUGAACUUUCUGCUUUCCCUUUGACAGCAGAUUCUUGUGUUUCCAGCAGCAGUGACAUCUGGGUUUAAUGCAAGGACUCUCUUCUCAGCAUGCACUGCAGUAGGAGCUGCCAUGCUCCCAGGGGAAGGGAAAGGCUGUGCCUGCAGAGAGCCUGGAGUUUCUCCUUCUCAUUUUCUGGCUGGAUGCUGUUAGGCAAAAGGCACUGUAAACUUUCAUGUAACCUACGUACUGCUGUUCAGUACUUUGGAAAGGAUGGAGAGUUUACAUUCAUCCACCCUCUCUCCCAUGCAGCGAAUGGUUGUGGCAAGCAUCUCUGUGGUAAGUGUUGGUCACAAUACAGGGUGUUAAAAACAUUCCCUUACUGUCACACAGUCUGUGCAGCCUUUCCUCAUUGUACAGGAAUGCCAGAGACUAUUUGCUGAAGCCUCAGUCUAAAACACAGCGUCUAGGAUUCCUUCUUAAAUGAACUGUAGGUGGUUUUCCACAGCUUUAUUAAUAGCUGCUAGUUGGUGCGGAGGACAUGCAGGCACUUUGCUUAAUGACAGAGCAGCUCACUAAUCUGCAGCCUGGUCCUCUGCACCUGUAUUAUACCUCUCCUCUUGCAAAGACCUGCUGGUAAGCAAAGGGUUACUGUGCAGAAAGUGCAUCCAAGCCCCUCUCUUUAUGCAGGUAGAAUACUACUUCCUACACUGAAGGGCUUUUCAAGAUGAACAUUGGGUUAAAGGCUAUAUUAUACAAACUCUUUUUUGUAACUCUAACCUUCCUCUCACAUCUAGGAUGAAAAUACAGAACAAUCUAUGUUGGGAGUGGGGAGGGCUUACAGAAGAAAUCUGGUUCAACAUCCAGCUCAGGGCAGGACCAGCUUCAGGUCAGGUUGCUCAGAGCCUUAUCCAGUUGAGGAUUUGAAAAGAAAUCAAAGGCUCUUGAAAUAAGUUAUGCCCCCGAGUCUAGAAAUAGCUAAAAAUAAAUUAAGGAUGGGAUAUUAGUUUUCUGGUGAG